AACGAACGCUGGCGGCGUGCUUAACACAUGCAAGUCGAACGGUACGUCCCCAUCUUGUUGCGGUCCACGAGUUGCAAACGGGUGAGUAACCCGUGGGUUACCUGUCCUGCACUUCGGGAUAUGCUUGGGAAACUGGGUCUAAUACCGCAUAGGAUCGCUCCCCGUUGGUUGGGUGGGAAGUUUUUUCGGUGUGUGAUGGGCCCGCGGCCUAUCAGCUUGUUGGUGGGGUAAUGGCCUACCAAGGCGGGGACGGGUAGCCGGCCUGAGAGGGUGGACGGCCAAAUUGGGACUGAGACACGGCCCAGACUCCUACGGGAGGCAGCAGUGGGGAAUAUUGCACAAUGGGCGGAAGCCUGAUGCAGCGACGCCGCGUGGGGGAUGACGGCCUUCGGGUUGUAAACUCCUUUCACCAUCGACGAAGGGUUUCUGACGGUAGAUGGAGAAGAAGCACCGGCUAACUACGUG
RNAcentral lists this ribosomal RNA (465 nucleotides) under uncultured bacterium. RNAcentral describes it as "partial 16S ribosomal RNA". It matches the Rfam family "Bacterial small subunit ribosomal RNA", at positions 28 to 507 of the family's 1533-position model. The record is from RNAcentral.